UUCCUACGGGAGGCAGCAGUGGGGAAUUUUGGGCAAUGGGCGCAAGCCUGACCCAGCGACGCCGCGUGGAGGAUGAAGGCCUUCGGGUUGUAAACUCCUGUCAGGUGGGAAGAAAUGCCCGUCGGUGAAUAGCCGACGGGAGUUGACGGUACCACCAAAGGAAGCCCCGGCUAACUCCGUGCCAGCAGCCGCGGUAAUACGGAGGGGGCAAGCGUUAUUCGGAUUUACUGGGCGUAAAGCGCACGUAGGCGGCUAGGCAAGUCGCAGGUGAAAGCCCUCGGCUCAGCCGAGGAACUGCCUGCGAAACUGCUCUGCUUGAGUCCGGGAGGGGGGAGCGGAAUUCCCAGUGUAGCGGUGAAAUGCGUAGAUACUGGGAGGAACACCGGUGGCGAAGGCGGCUCCCUGGACCGGUACUGACGCUGAGGUGCGAAAGCGUGGGUAGCAAACAGGAUUAGAUACCCUGGUAGUCCACGCCGUAAACGAUGGGCACUAGGUGCAGCGGGUGUCGACCCCUGCUGUGCCGAAGUUAACGCAUUAAGUGCCCCGCCUGGGGAGUACGGUCGCAAGGCUGAAACUCAAAUGAAUUGACGGAA
RNAcentral lists this ribosomal RNA (593 nucleotides) under uncultured Acidobacterium sp. Its description in RNAcentral is "bacterial SSU rRNA". It matches the Rfam family "Bacterial small subunit ribosomal RNA", at positions 336 to 918 of the family's 1533-position model. The record is from RNAcentral. Lineage: Bacteria; Pseudomonadati; Acidobacteriota; Terriglobia; Terriglobales; Acidobacteriaceae.